CCGGCUACGGAUGGCCAUGCGGCGCAUUAGCUAGUUGGCGGGGUAACGGCCCACCAAGGCGACGAUGCGUAGGGGUUCUGAGAGGAAGGUCCCCCACACUGGUACUGAGACACGGACCAGACUCCUACGGGAGGCAGCAGUGAGGAAUAUUGGUCAAUGGGCGCGAGCCUGAACCAGCCAAGUCGCGUGAGGGAAGACGGUCCUAUGGAUUGUAAACCUCUUUUGUCGGGGAGCAAAAGACGCCACGCGUGGCGUUCCGAGAGUACCCGAAGAAAAAGCAUCGGCUAACUCCGUGCCAGCAGCCGCGGUAAUACGGAGGAUGCGAGCGUUAUCCGGAUUUAUUGGGUUUAAAGGGUGCGCAGGCGGAAGAUCAAGUCAGCGGUAAAAUUGAGAGGCUCAACCUCUUCGAGCCGUUGAAACUGGUUUUCUUGGGUGAGCGAGAAGUAUGCGGAAUGCGUGGUGUAGCGGUGAAAUGCAUAGAUAUCACGCAGAACUCCGAUUGCGAAGGCAGCAUACCGGCGCUCAACUGACGCUCAUGCACGAAAGUGUGGGUAUCGAACAGGAUUAGAUACCCUGGUAGUCCACACAGUAAACGAUGAAUACUAAUUGUUCGGGGAGAAUGAU
This 624-nucleotide ribosomal RNA is filed under the name uncultured bacterium. Its description in RNAcentral is "bacterial SSU rRNA". It matches the Rfam family "Bacterial small subunit ribosomal RNA", at positions 215 to 836 of the family's 1533-position model. The record is from RNAcentral.